This 328-nucleotide ribosomal RNA is filed under the name Erysipelotrichaceae bacterium. RNAcentral's name for it is "partial 23S ribosomal RNA". It matches the Rfam family "Bacterial large subunit ribosomal RNA", at positions 2600 to 2925 of the family's 2925-position model. The record is from RNAcentral. Lineage: Bacteria; Bacillati; Bacillota; Erysipelotrichia; Erysipelotrichales; Erysipelotrichaceae.
GCGAGCUGGGUUCAGAACGUCGUGAGACAGUUCGGUCCCUAUCUGUUGUGGGCGUUGGAAAUUUGAGGAGCGCUGUCCCUAGUACGAGAGGACCAGGAUGGACGUACCUAUGGUGCACCAGUUGUCUUGCCAAAGGCACAGCUGGAUAGCUAAGUACGGAUCGGAUAAACGCUGAAGGCAUCUAAGCGUGAAACCGACUCCAAGAUUAGAUUUCCCAUUCACUUGAUGAAGUAAGACCCCUUAUAGACUAUGAGGUUGAUAGGUUAGAGAUGUAAGUACAGCAAUGUAUUAAGUUGACUAAUACUAAUAGGUCGAGGAUUUUAUCAUA